UCAGGAUAAACGCUGGCGGCGUGCCUUAUGCAUGCAAGUCGAACGUCUCGCCUAUGGCGAGUAGUGGCGAACGGGUGAGUAACACGUAAGUAAUCUGCCCUUAAGUAGGGGAUAACUCUAAGAAAUUGGAGCUAAUACCUUAUGUGGUGAUGGAGGUAAAGCUUCAUUACUAAAGCCUUAGGGCGCUUAAGGAGGAGCUUGUGUCCGAUUAGCUAGUUGGUAGGGUAACGGCUUACCAAGGCGACUAUCGGUAGCUGGUUUGAGAGGAUGUCCAGCCACACUGGGAUUGAGAUACGGCCCAGACUCCUACGGGAGGCAGCAGCAAGGAAUAUUGUGCAAUGGGCGGAAGCCUGACACAGCGACGUCGCGUUGGGGAUGAAGGCCUUCGGGUUGUAAACCCCUUUUCUCAGGGAAGAAUAAUGACGGUACCUGAGGAAUAAGCCUCGGCUAACUACGUGCCAGCAGCCGCGGUAAUACGUAGGAGGCUAGCGUUAUCCGGAUUUACUGGGCGUAAAGAGGGCGUAGGCGGCUUUCCAAGUCGGAUGUAAAAUCUCCCGGCUUAACUGGGAGGGAUAAUCCGAUACUGUUGGGCUAGAGGGCAGCAGAGGGAGGUGGAAUUCCCGGUGUAGUGGUGAAAUGCUUAGAUAUCGGGAGGAACACCAGUGGCGAAGGCGACCUCCUGGGCUGCUUCUGACGCUGAGGCCCGAAAGCGUGGGUAGCGAACAGAAUUAGAUACUCUGGUAGUCCACGCUGUAAACGAUGGACACUAGGUAUGGGGAGUAUCGACCCUCUCUGUGCCGAAGCUAACGCAUUAAGUGUCCCGCCUGGGGACUACGGCCGCAAGGCUAAAACUCAAAGGAAUUGACGGGGGCCCGCACAAGCAGCGGAGCGUGUGGUUUAAUUCGAUGCAACGCGAAGAACCUUACCAAGGCUUGACAUGUUGGAAGUAGCAACCCGAAAGGGAAGCCACCUAUUGAGUCAGGAGCCAUCACAGGUGCUGCAUGGCUAUCGUCAGCUCGUGCCGUGAGGUGUUGGGUUAAGUCCCGCAACGAGCGCAACCCUUGUUGCCAGUUAUAUUCUCUGGUGAGACUGCCCCCAAGACGGGGAGGUAGGUGAGGAUGACGUCAAGUCAGCAUGGCCCCUUAUGCCUUGGGCUACACACACGCUUACAAUGGAUGGUACAGAGGGAAGCAAUGGAAGUAAUCCUGAGCCAAUCCCACAAAGCCAUCCUCAGUUCGGAUUGCAGGCUGAAACUCGCCCUACAUGAAGUUGGAGUUGCUAGUAACCGUAGGUCAGCAUACUGCGGUGA
Molecule: ribosomal RNA, 1309 nt
Filed under: uncultured bacterium
Lineage: Bacteria
Description: bacterial SSU rRNA
Rfam family: Bacterial small subunit ribosomal RNA
Source: RNAcentral